Molecule: non-coding RNA, 21 nt
Filed under: Caenorhabditis elegans
Lineage: Eukaryota; Metazoa; Nematoda; Chromadorea; Rhabditida; Rhabditidae
Source: RNAcentral
UACAGCUGUUUUAGUUGGUUU